UAUAUAUAAAUAAGAGUCAGAGGUAUGCCAUGUUGACUGUUUAAAUAUGUUGGUGUGUAACCAUGUUUCAACACUUUUGAAGGGAUUAAUAAAUGGUAACAGCUGUGAUAUCGACUAAAACGAUUUGUGGAAAGUAUCUAAACUAGCAGUAACAUAGUUCUCCGGCUUCAACUUCAACUCACAGAUUGAUGGCGAAUAAGGGCAAUGGAAACAGAUUUUCAAAAAAGAAAUCAAAUAAAACGCACAUUAAAGAAACAGUCGUGACUGACAGAAAAGAGGCUAACAAGACGACUGAACAAAGUGAUCUAUCUGUUGCUACCAACUCAUUCCAAAAUGUGGAAAGCAAAAUGAAUGUUACAGUGGAUCAUGAAAAGAAUACUUCCGAAGUUGUUGGCACAGUAGCAGGCAUUGUACAACAAUGUCUGCAGCACUGGUCUGGUCUAUUGGAAUGGUCAUAUUUGAACCCGUGGGUGGUAUACUUGUAGGCGCUGGUGUUGCUGGAUUUUGUGGUAUGGCUAUUCAAGCCAUGUGGAUGACGAGACGUCUAAUCUGCGAUGUACUUAAUUGACAGGAAGCAUCGACACACAACAGUUACCUUACUAUAAGAAUAUUAUGAUUCUUCGUCAAAGGAUGAAUAAGAACAGCAACUUACCAAUUAAACCUUCAGACGAAGGCAGACAGCGUGCUUCAGACCUUACUGCCACUAUCACCGCUAUUAUACUAGGAAUAAUGGCUGGAUUAAUUGUUUGGCCAGCAGGCCUUGUUCACGAUACCCCCGUUCCUGGUCUUAUCAUUAUGGCUUUUGUUGCUGGAUUGACUGGAGCGAUUAUUCAAGAAGCAUGGGCACAAAACAUUCGGCAGAUUCAAAUAUUCAUAAUUUGUAUGGAGCCUGUGAUGUUUGUCAUUAUAUUUGACAUAUUUGGUCUGCGAACUGCAGCUUCUGAAUAUAUUCCAGAAGAACCAUUCUACAUAGACAUUUAGUGCAGCGACGUACAAAGAGUGCACAAACAUGAAUUCCAUAAACUGUAUACGAUAUGAUUUGAUGAAUAUUAACAGCGAGUGUGAUAUGCAUACAUGGUUACUGUAAAACGAAUUAUGGUCAGUAUCUAACACGCAACUAUGACAGGGCCCCAUGGACUGUAUACCCUAGUCAACCGCGUUCAGAGAGCUUUGUGAAACAAUCAGCAUUAAUCAUUGCGUGUUUUAAUUUCGACUUGUAUUCGUAACAGGUAAUGCUAAACUCCCUCGAAGCUACAUUAUAACGCAGGACAUCUAGUUGUAGUGGUAUUACGCUUAAAUAAAACUUCUAAUGCCCCCUUCGAUAUUUUGCCAAUAAACUAAGAUUUCAAUUUAAAUAUUUUGCAUUAAAAUAUUUUAAUCAAUAAUAUAUAAAAAUACAAAAUAAUUCAAAAUGUAUUCAUGAAAUCAUUUGAUUUUAUUCGUUUUUCGAACUCACCUUUAGAAAAGUCACAAAAAUACACAUGAAUAUCUUGAUUUUAUCAAGUUAUAUGGAUACAGAGGUUCGGAUAUUGGGUAUCAAACCAAAUAUUAGAAACAUGGCGCAGGAAAAAAAAAGCAUUUUUGUCACAGAUGUUUUCCACAACAGACAAGUUAGUUUAAUGGUAUAUUUGUCAUUGAAGUUGAGGUAGUCAGUUUUAACAUGUUUUAAACGUUUGAAAAAGUCAUAAAUGUAUUAGAAAUAAUAUAACAGAUAUUGUUAAAAUACGGAGAGGUUUUAGAAGUUCAUUAAGUAUAUGAGGUUAUAAGUGUAUUUUGCAAAUGACUAUUACUUUAAUGCAGCAUUUCGUUUUAAUACAAAACGUUAAAGUUUGCUCAUUUAGUUAUUAGAAUGAUGCUGGUAUACUUUUAUCCAUCAGAGGCUUCUCACAGUCGCAGGAGGAAUUUCUGAUUCAUUUCUUUUGUUUAUUUGUGAACACGGGUAACCGUAAAUGCCAACGGAAGUGGUAUCAGUUAACGUUUUCACCGAAUUGGAGACUCAAGCAACAUCUACGAAAACAUACUUGCUGAUAAUGAAUAAAGACGAUACAAAAUUACUGCGAUCCAUAAAAUUUACCUCUCUAAUAUCGGAUAUUAAUACAUGUAUCAAGAAAAUGAAAAUAUUCCUCGCAAUCGGCUUCGAAUACUAACGAUUUUGAUAUAUGCUCGAACACACGAAGCGAACUGAAACAGAUUUCAGUAGACCUAUGACAUGCUUAGGUUUACGAACCAGCAGCUAUUCAAAUACAGGAAAAGCCCGUACUAUCCAAUCUAUGUAUCUAUAUCAUGUCGUCUGAACUACAAAUCUUUUUUUGAAAUGAUUUGAAUAAUAUUUGUGGUACCAGAAACAAUAUGAAAUGUUAUUAUUAAGAUAGGUAAAUGUUUCUAUAUGAGACUAUAUGUUUCACACAUUUUGCAACUAAUUAGAUUUAAAUUAUCACUAUGUAAUGUAACUACAUGUUGAAGAGUUCAUUAUCUAAUAUUGUCUAAUAUUGAAGUCUCCGUAUGUUUUCGUAAUAUUAAUACAUGAACUUUUGAGCUAAUUGAUAUGCCUGUACCUUAAAACUAAAGACAACUCAUGGUUCAGGAAGGAUUUAUGCAAGUAUUUGUCUGGUAUCAAUAAUAUAUCUAUAUAUCAGUUUACAGUCCAAGGGAUGUAAUCCUUUGGAACAAAUGAAAAUUGUUUCAGUAGUAAUGUAAAUUUGUUAUAAAAACUAAAAUAAAAGGAUAUAUGUAUAUUAAUUACCUCUUUAUGUAAGAAAACCUGUAAUGACUUAGACCAGCCGGACGGCUUCCGCACAUGAAGAGAUAGCGAGUUGGUGAGCUCCAAGUAUGUCGAUGUCGGCCCAGUGAGGUCUUUUCAAAGUAUCGUUCUUUGAAUACAAUUUCCCAAUAUUUGACAUGGGUUACAUUGAAAAACACGUAUGUGUUUUUGUAUAAAUUAUCAGUGUUUCCGUCAUGCUGCUCCAAUAAUACGCAAAUCUACUAAGACCCUUGACGGUCAUUUAUCACGGACUGUCACAGUUUUUUUCUAUUACCGUCACGGCAAUGUCACGGGUCUGAUAAUCGGAAUAUGAUGUUAGCGUCAUAGUAACAGAGAAAUUUUAGUAGUAUUUAUCUUUUAAGAUUGGUUAAAAAAAAUAGAUAUGUUGCCAAGUCGACCCAAUGCAUGUGUGACGGUGAGAUCAGAACCAUAAAUAAACAGAAUAAACAGAAGUUAACUGCUACAAGAACCAUUUGUGCUGUAUAUUUCGGAAAGACAGUAUGGGCAAUUGACGAACUACAAAAGGCUUGGAUGGAGGAUUUUAUGAAGUACUUUGAAGACAGGAUUUCCCCGAACCUAACGAGGGUAUGCAAGUGGUCAACAAAAAAUGAUCUAAAUUAAUCUUUGUGUUACUGUAGCUAUAACGAGCAGCUGCAACUAGAACUAUGAAUUAUGUGAGAUAUUAAUUUGGGAGGUAUUUUCAAAUGAAGCAGUUUGUUUUCUGCAGUAAAAUGAUAGUGUGUUUGAGUUGCGUUUCCUCUCAUGGUCAGGCUCCAUAAAACGUUUUAUUUUGCUUGGUUGCAUUCUAUGAUUCCAAACAAUCUUCUUGAAUAUUUUAUUCUUUUGAUCAUUUGUAUUUGUAAGCAUUUUCCAUGCAAUUUCAUUAUUUUUAUUUUUUUCACAACUAAAUUUUAGUUCUAAAUUUCUGUAAGUAGUAAACGUUAUAUCAAGGACGUAAAUAUCUACGAGGA
Mercenaria mercenaria is the source of this 3732-nucleotide RNA transcript. RefSeq lists it as uncharacterized. The transcript has 8 exons. Lineage: Eukaryota; Metazoa; Mollusca; Bivalvia; Venerida; Veneridae. The record is from RefSeq and is a predicted model, not a curated record.